GAUGAACGCUGGCGGCGUGCCUAAUACAUGCAAGUCGAGCGAACGGACGAGACGCUUGCUUCUCUGAUGUUAGCGGCGGACGGGUGAGUAACGCGUGGAUAACCUACCUAUAAGACUGGGAUAACUUCGGGAAACCGUAGCUAAUACCGUAUAAUAUUUUGAACCGCAUGGUUCAAAAGUGAAAGACGGUCUUGCUGUCACGUAUAGAUGGAUCCGCGCUUCAUUAGCUAGUUGGUAAGGUAACGGCUUACCAAGGCAACGAUGCAUAGCCGACCUGAGAGGGGGAUCGCCCACACGGGAACUGAGACACGGUCCAGACUCCUACGGGAGGCAGCAGUAGGGAAUCUUCCGCAAUGGGCGAAAGCCUGACGGAGUAACGGCGCGUGAGUGAUGAAGGUCUUCGGAGCGUAAAACUCUGUUAUGAGGGAAGAACAUAUGUGUAAGUAACUGUGCACAUCUUGACGGUAACUAAUCAGAAAGCCACGGCUAACUACGUG
This 497-nucleotide ribosomal RNA is filed under the name uncultured bacterium. RNAcentral's name for it is "partial 16S ribosomal RNA". It matches the Rfam family "Bacterial small subunit ribosomal RNA", at positions 28 to 507 of the family's 1533-position model. The record is from RNAcentral.